CCUACGGGAGGCAGCAGUAGGGAAUCUUCCACAAUGGGCGAAAGCCUGAUGGAGCAACGCCGCGUGGGUGAAGAAGGUCUUCGGAUCGUAAAACCCUGUUGUUAGAGAAGAAAGUGCGUGAGAGUAACUGUUCACGUUUCGACGGUAUCUAACCAGAAAGCCACGGCUAACUACGUGCCAGCAGCUGCGGUAAUACGUAGGUGGCAAGCGUUAUCGGGAUUGAUUGGGCGUAAAGGGAACGCAGGCGGUCUUUUAAGUCUGAUGUGAAAGCCUUCGGCUUAACCGGAGUAGUGCAUUGGAAACUGGGAGACUUGAGUGCAGAAGAGGAGAGUGGAACUCCAUGUGUAGCGGUGAAAUGCGUAGAUAUAUGGAAGAACACCAGUGGCGAAGGCGGCUCUCUGGUCUGUAACUGACGCUGAGGUUCGAAAGCGUGGGUAGCAAACAGGAUUAGAUACCCUUGUAGUC
Molecule: ribosomal RNA, 465 nt
Filed under: uncultured bacterium
Lineage: Bacteria
Description: partial 16S ribosomal RNA
Rfam family: Bacterial small subunit ribosomal RNA
Source: RNAcentral